UGGGGGAUAUUGCACAAUGGGCGAAAGCCUGAUGCAGCGACGCCGCGUGGGGGAUGAAGGCCUUCGGGUUGUAAACUUCUUUUGCUCUGAACAAGGCAUGCCUUUGGGGUGUGUUGAGUGUAGGGGUUGAUUAGCGCCGGCUAACUACGUGCCAGCAGCCGCGGUAAUACGUAGGGCGCGAGCGUUGUCCGGAAUUAUUGGGCGUAAAGGGCUUGUAGGUGGCUGGUUGCGUCUGUCGUGAAAGCUCAUGGCUUAACUGUGGGUUUGCGGUGGGUACGGGCUGGCUUGAGUGCAGUAGGGGGGGCUGGAAUUCCUGGUGUAGCGGUAGAAUGCGCAGAUAUCAGGAGGAAUACCGGUGGCGAAGGCGGGUCUCUGGGCUGUUACUGACGCUGGGGAGCGAAAGCGUGGGGAGCGAACAGG
RNAcentral lists this ribosomal RNA (420 nucleotides) under Fusobacteriota bacterium. Its description in RNAcentral is "Fusobacteria bacterium partial 16S ribosomal RNA". It matches the Rfam family "Bacterial small subunit ribosomal RNA", at positions 355 to 776 of the family's 1533-position model. The record is from RNAcentral. Lineage: Bacteria; Fusobacteriati; Fusobacteriota.